CCUACGGGAGGCAGCAGUGGGGGAUAUUGGACAAUGGGGGGAACCCUGAUCCAGCGACGCCGCGUGAGUGAAGAAGUAUUUCGGUAUGUAAAGCUCUAUCAGCAGGGAAGAAAAGAAUGACGGUCCCUGAAUCAGAAGCCCCGGCUAACUACGUGCCAGCAGCCGCGGUAAUACGUAGGGGGCAAGCGUUAUCAGGAUUUACUGGGUGUAAAGGGAGCGUAGAGGGUUGUGCAAGCCAGAUGUGAAAGCCCGGGGCUCAGCGCCGGGACUGCAUGUGGAACUGUGGGGCUGGAGUGUGGGAGAGGCAGGCGGAAGUUGUAGUGUAGCGGUGAAAUGCGUAGAUAUUAGGAGGAACACCAGUGGCGAAGGCGGCCUGCUGGACGAUGACUGACGUUGAGGCUCGAAAGCGUGGGGAGCAAACAGGAUUAGAUACCCGGGUAGUC
RNAcentral lists this ribosomal RNA (443 nucleotides) under uncultured bacterium. RNAcentral describes it as "partial 16S ribosomal RNA". It matches the Rfam family "Bacterial small subunit ribosomal RNA", at positions 338 to 795 of the family's 1533-position model. The record is from RNAcentral.